This 377-nucleotide ribosomal RNA is filed under the name uncultured eukaryote. RNAcentral describes it as "partial 18S ribosomal RNA". It matches the Rfam family "Eukaryotic small subunit ribosomal RNA", at positions 592 to 976 of the family's 1831-position model. The record is from RNAcentral.
CAAUAGCGUAUAUUUAAGUUGCUGCAGUUAAAAAGCUCGUAGUUGGAUUUCGGGUGGGAAUGGCCGGUCCGCCGUUUCGGUGUGCACUUGCUACGCCCACCUUGCUGCCGGGGACGUGCUCUUGAGUUCACGCUCGGGACACGGAGUCGGCGAGGUUACUUUGAGUAAAUUAGAGUGUUCAAAGCAGGCCUACGCUCUGAAUACAUUAGCAUGGAAUAACACGAUAGGACUCUGGCCUAUCUUGUUGGUCUGUAGGACCGGAGUAAUGAUUAAGAGGGACAGUCGGGGGCAUUCGUAUCUCAUUGUCAGAGGUGAAAUUCUCGGAUUUAUGAAAGACGAACUACUGCGAAAGCAUUUGCCAAGGAUGUUUUCAUUAA